GUGCCAGCAGCCGCGGUAAUACGUAGGGGGCAAGCGUUGUUCGGAAUCACUGGGCUUAAAGCGUGCGCAGGCGGCCAUGCAAGUCAGAAGUGAAAUCCCGGGGCUUAACCCCGGAAUUGCUUUUGAAACUGCACGGCUAGAAUAUGGGAGAGGUUAGCAGAAUUCCGAGUGUAGAGGUGAAAUUCGCAGAUAUUCGGAGGAAUACCAGUGGCGAAGGCGGCUAACUGGACCAUUAUUGACGCUCAGGCACGAAAGCGUGGGGAGCAAACAGGAUUAGAUACCCCCGUAGUCC
This 292-nucleotide ribosomal RNA is filed under the name uncultured bacterium. RNAcentral describes it as "partial 16S ribosomal RNA". It matches the Rfam family "Bacterial small subunit ribosomal RNA", at positions 505 to 796 of the family's 1533-position model. The record is from RNAcentral.